GAGGAUAAGUGUAACGAUCCGCUCCCAGAGUAUUUUUAAAUUUGAAGGAAAUAAAUCGUGAGAGGUUUUUGUCUGCAGGGAGAGUAUUUUUCUAAGUGUGGAUACACUUGUAAUCGUGAAGAUUGGGUAUGAAGAUGUAUUUUAACUAAGUGUCAGAUCUUAAGUGAGCUCAUGGAAUAAAUUUGGAACUGGCGGAGCGAUGAUAAACUGAUCAUGGAACGAUCAGAACAUACAUGAAGCGAGAUCAAGACCAAUUAAGGAAUGUUCGGCUGUUGGGCAAUGCGGGUUCCAAGUAAGGAAAGUUUGACUAGCCAUCAUUGCGGGAUAAUACAAAAGGAAGGUCGGAUCUGCGGGAGUCAGCUAAGGAAAAGAAUCAAAGAUAUCAAGUCAAGCCAUUGAUGGUGAUCUUUGACCAAGCCAAAUAAGGAAACUGGCAUUAAGUGUCCGGCUUGGUGAGAAAGCUUGAGAAAUCCUAUAAAAGGACUCCUUGAACUCUCAUUUCUAGGAUAUAACCAAGAAAAACAUAUUUAGAGAGAAAUCAGAGCAAGAACGAGUUGGUAGAAAGAGAAAUUUGAGAAGAGGGAUCAAACGAGGAGGAGCUAAGGAGUUCUUCGUCAGAAACGCUAGGAAGUUCAGAGUCUUCGAAUCCUAGAGAUUCAGCUAAGGUGAGGACGUGAUUCGUGAUAGUCCAAUAAGAACUAUUUGUCCUGUUUUGAUUCGAUAUGAUUGUGUUUAUGCUUGGAUAGAAAUUGUUUAUGGAAAAUUCGUUAAUCGUGUUCAUAGGGAAAUGUAUGAUAGAAAUUGUUUAUGGAAAGUUUAUUCAUCGUGUUCUUAAGAAAUGUAUGAUAGGAAUUGUUUAAGGAAAGUUUGUUUAUCGUGUUCUUGAGAAAUGCAUGCUAUUGAUUUGCGGGAUGGAUUAUUGAGUUAUGUUAGGAUGUUUAUGUGAGAAAUGAAUGUUUGAUCUUGAGAACCUAGGUCAGGAAGUUAUAAUGCGUUUAAGGAAAGAAUAAAUGAAUUGAGUUAAUGUAAGGAAAAUGUUAAGGAAAAAAGGUCAAGGAAAAAGGAUAAAGGAAAUGUAAUGGACCGACGGGUCACAGGUUGGCUACGGCCGCAGGUUAGGCUUCGGCCGCAUGUUUGGCUUCGGCCGCAGGAUUAUGGGCCUUCGGGUCGAAAGGUUAAGAAAUGUUAAGAAUUGAAAAGGAAUUAAUUAGUUACGUAAGGGAAUGAUAGAACCAGAUGCUAGAGGGUUAAUUUGAUUUAGUAUUGCUUAUUAGGCUAUAGUGGGCGGUAUUGAGUGUCCUCACUGAGUACUUUUGUAUGCUCAUGCCUCCUUUUGUGAUGCAGGUGACGAGUAGUUGAUUGGACCGGAGCGCGGGACAAUGAAGACCAUCGGGGCGAGUUUUAUUUUUUUAUAAACUUGGGAUUUCUAUUGGGUGUUUUAUGAAUCAUAUACUAUUACUCUAUAUUAUUUUCUCGGAUUUAUUAAUAAAAUUGGAGUUUUGUUUGAGUUUAUUAUUGAAAAAUUUCAUGAAUUUUUACUUAGAAUUUUUCAAGGCUUUUUCAAGAUUUAUGGGUCGGGGUGUUUCAAUUGGUAUCAGAGCGGGGUUGGCUAGCCAGUUCUGUCCUGGUUGGCUGUUUUUUUCGAAAAUGGGAUUUGUGGGUAAGGGUGGAAAGGAACCGAUGGUCUAUGUCUCGCGCGAAGGAUGUGUGGUAUGAUUUUACAAAGAUAUUUCUAGUUAUGUGUUUAUGAUUGGACUGCUUAGUAAAUGGCUAAGCAAAAUUCUGUUAAAGAGUUUGCAGGAAGUUAGUGAAAACUAACUUAAGUCUAAUGAAAGAUACAGAGUGUCGACUGUCGAAUUUUUCAAUGGGUAGGCAAGGAAAGCAUCAGGUUGGUUCAGUCAACAAAAGUAAUAUGCUUGAAGUCGUGUGUGUUGGAGCAAGAUAUGUCAACGUUAGGGAAUGAGUAGAUAUGAUGAUAAAAUGUACGAAGCAAUAGUCUGCAUGGAUUGAUGGUUAUUGACUGGGCUUGUAGCAUCCCCAUCCUACAGUCUGAGCUGGAUCAGUCCAAGGCUGAGUGUUAGUUUGACUGAUCAGUCGAACCUGACACGUAAAACAAUAUUGUGGGUCCAGACAUAGCAGCUGAGCUUGUCGGACAGAGCUGAUCGGAUUCAGACAAAGCAGCCGGACUUUUCUUUCGAGAAAAGUUAGUUUAUGUAUGACUUACUGGUAUACGUUAUGGUGGGAAUGGAUACCGAGCUGAACAUGUACUGACAAGGUAAGUAAAACGGCGGGAACAGUUAUCUGACGGUUACCGAGCGGUUACUAAGCAGUUACCGAAGCAGAUACAAGACGGUUCUGUGUGGUUACUGAACUACUUAACUGACUGGGACGGUUUAUGGGACUGGAACUGUCAAGUAGUUAUGGAACGGUUACCUAACCGCCUGAUCGAGAAAGAAACUGUUCGGGGAGUUAAUAAGAACUAUCAAGGAUAGUUACUGAUUUGGGAUUGGGCGCGGGAGCGGUUAUGGGAAAGGAAAACCGCCAACUCCCAUUUUUAGUGGGAUUCCCGCGGAUCAGAAAGGGGGAGGCGAUACUGGACAGAUACAGAGAAAACCGAGAGAGAAAGGGAGAAACGGACGGAGAGGGACUGAGAUCAGCAAGGAGGACUGAUCGGAUCCUUUCUCCGACUACCCUAGAGUUCAGCGGUGGUCUUACUGAUCGUCUAAGAUGUGUCGGGUUCUGGUUCGAAGAUACGAAGCAGGUGGUUAAUAGGAAGAACCGAUCCGUCUUUGGCCAUGGCAGCUGAAGCAAGCACGAACCAUGGAUAAGGAUGUACCGGCUUAAUCUGCGCAUGGUGGAACCAUGUACUGUUGGGUCGCAAAGUAUACUUGAUGAUGUUGAUGCAUACCGCGGGUCUGAUGAGGGAUCAUGAGUCUUGUCUAAAGGCCUAUGGUCUUAGACGAGACUGGUAUCAGCAGUACGACAGAGGAACAAAGAUGGAGUGCGAUUAGAACUGUACUUCGGUACUGUCUGUUCAAUCCGAAGGAAGGAUCGGUCAAAAUUAUGGUGGACCGGAGAGUUGACUGGAACUGAGCGAACGAUCAAGAAGAAUCGACGGAUAAUAAGCAAAUGGAUCCGAUGGUAAUCGGGUUUUUGUUUGAAUACACUAGCUGGACGCAAGGACUUAGUCGAUCCAAUUCUUAGUAGUGUGGUGAUGAAAGCCAAACUUUGUUCGACUAUAGAAGCCGCAUUCCUUGUGUGCCAGGAAGUUGUCGGUCGUAGAAAAAUGGGUUCGAGGAAGAGAUCAGAUUUGGUCGGGCUUCAUACAUGGAGAUUUUCAAGCCGCAUGUUAUUUAUCAAGAUGUUCCAUUGAUGGUGGAGAUUGCAAAUAACUUUAAUGGUUUGAUCGUGCUACUAGAUAAAUGGUUCAAAGAAGCUCUUGGGAUGGACGUGUUGGAUCAAUGUCAAGUUAACUUGAUUGAAAAGAUAUUAGGGUAGCAUAUCAGAAAGAAGGAAAGAUGGUAGCUCAGAAAAAUGAAGAAGCAAUUCGAAAUUUCAAUAGUAUCUGCGGUAAGAACCUAUCAGAUGAUCGAGAAUAAGUAUGAUUUAUUCUUAGGACCAUCUCGGAUGCAGAAGUUGACUAAAGAAUGGUAAUGGUAGAAUGUCUAUGGAAGCAAUGUCUCAAAGAAGUUAAACAAGUAGAGCUAGAAGGAAAAAAAAAUGAUAUAGGUUCAUGAGCGCAAUGCCCGAUGAAAGUGUUGGUCGAGUCAAGGAAAGGGUACGACCACUGCAAUUGGUCGAUGACAAAGAAUCCAGCAAGAUCAUAAACCUUGUUGGAUUAGUGGGUAAGAAUCGCCAAUAGUAAGAGAUCUGCAAGUUGGUUCAACCACUCAAGGGUUUGACGGUAAAAGAUGUGACGUAUGGUGGACGGCAUACUACAAGGAAAGUUUCGUGGUCCACGGAAAGUGCAAAUGGGUAGGUUAAUAUUAGUACAAUCCAGCUACGAGUGUUUUGGAUGGAUACAUCUAUGAUUGGAUUUAGUUGUUUUAUGAAUGUGCCAUAGCGAAUUCUUCUCGACGAUUGUGGAACAAAAUGAUUGCAGUCAGUGCUGAAAAUGUUGUGAAUCAAGGGUGAUUCAGAUAAUUGGACUGCAUAGAGUGAUAAAUCAGGUGAUGAAGUUGAUUGACAAGCGACUAAUAUCCGCCCAGAGAAUAUGUGUCAGCCCUGUAUUUUGGGAUCCAUGAUGCAACCUAGAAGAAGCAUUUGUCGUCAGCAUAUUCGAUUGCAUUAUUAUAAAAGUGUUCCAGUCAGACAACUAGUGCUGGACCAAAGUUAAAUGGAGGAAACAUAAAGAUUAGAUCCAAUAAGCGGUUAGUGAGCGUGGAAGCAAAAUACAUGCAGCGAGUCCGGAGUUGUUCAGUUUCUGUUUAUUUGGCAGUUGGUCGAGACGCAAUUCGGGGAUGAAAUUAUUUUAAGUGGGGGAGAGUUGUAACGACCCGCUCCCGGAGUAUUUUUAAAUUUGAAGGAAAUAAAUCGUGAGAGGUUUUUGUCUACAAUGAAAGUAUUUUUCUAAGUGUGGAUACACUUGUAAUCGUGAAGAUUGGGUAUGAAGAUGUAUUUUAACUAAGUGUCAGAUUUUAAGUGAGCUCAUGGAAUAAAUUUGGAACUGGCGGAGCGAUUAUAAACUGAUCAUGGAACGAUCAGAACAUACAUGAAUCAAGAUGAAGACCAAUUAAGGAAUGUUCGGCUGUUGGGCAAUGCGGGUUCCAAGUAAGGAAAGUUUGACUAGCCAUCAUUGCGGGAUAAUACAAAAGGAAGGUCGGAUCUGCGGGAGUCAGCUAAGGAAAGAAUCAAAGAUAUCAAGUCAAGCCAUUGAUAGUGAUCUUUGACCAAGCCAAAUAAGGAAACUGGCAUUAAGUGCCCGGCUUGGUGAGAAAGCUUGAGAAAUCCUAUAAAAGGACUCCUUGAACUCUCAUUUCUAGGACACAACCAAGAAAAACAUAUUUAGAGAGAAAUCAGAGCAAGAACGAGUUGAUAGAGAGAGAAUUUUGAGAAGAG
This 5058-nucleotide long non-coding RNA is filed under the name Brassica napus (rape). Its description in RNAcentral is "long non-coding RNA (BNAP_LNC026703)". Lineage: Eukaryota; Viridiplantae; Streptophyta; Magnoliopsida; Brassicales; Brassicaceae. The record is from RNAcentral.